UACAGAGGGGGCAAGCGUUGUUCGGAAUUACUGGGCGUAAAGGGCGCGUAGGCGGCCCGCUAAGUCGAACGUGAAAUCCCCGAGCUCAACUCGGGAACUGCGUCCGAUACUGGCGGGCUUGAAUCCGGGAGAGGGAUGCGGAAUUCCAGGCGUAGCGGUGAAAUGCGUAGAUAUCUGGAGGAACACCGGUGGCGAAGGCGGCAUCCUGGACCGGUAUUGACGCUGAGGCGCGAAAGCGUGGGGAGCGAACAGG
Molecule: ribosomal RNA, 253 nt
Filed under: uncultured bacterium
Lineage: Bacteria
Description: partial 16S ribosomal RNA
Rfam family: Bacterial small subunit ribosomal RNA
Source: RNAcentral